Long non-coding RNA from Dreissena polymorpha, 498 nucleotides. RefSeq lists it as uncharacterized. The record is from RefSeq and is a predicted model, not a curated record. Lineage: Eukaryota; Metazoa; Mollusca; Bivalvia; Myida; Dreissenidae. The transcript has 2 exons.
GGCAGAUCAUUCGAGAUCGUUCGGCUUUUAUUGUAUAAGAGUGUCAUUUUCGACAAAGCAAAACUAAUUCGAAAUCACGGAGGAUUUACACAUAACAAAUGCAUUUCAUAAUGGCAAUAAAUGAUGAAGGUUAAAGGACGAUAAUAAGUGCAUCUUUCGUUGCAGUAUAAAAUUACGUAAUUAGGAAUUAAAAUAUAGCGGAGGACCGGGAUACCAUUCCCCAUUUGUGGACCACAUGAGUUUAAAUGUAGAAUAUGCAAGAGAGAGUCCUUCAACAGAGCCGGACUAAAACAGUAAAUAAAACAAACGAACCAAACAAAAAAAUGUUAAGCUGAUGUUUUAUGUGGUUUUUUUUGUUUGAUUAAUUUUAUUAUUUCUACAUAGACAGGUCUGACAUACAAUUGCUAUGAGUGCUACGUAACUACACGCUUUGUUCCGUAUAUGUCAUGAUGCUAGUUUCUCACUUUUUUAUGAAAAUAAACCAUCUGUGUCACGUCA